GUAGCGGUGAAAUGCGUAGAUAUUAGAGGAACACCAGUUGCGAAGGCGGCUCUCUGGACUGUAACUGACGCUGAGGCACGAAAGCGUGGGAGCAAACAGGAUUAGAUACCCUGGUAGUCCACGCUGUAAACGAUGAGUACUAGGUGUCGGGGUUACCCCCUUCGGUGCCGCAGCUAACGCAUUAAGUACUCCGCCUGGGAAGUACGCUCGCAAGAGUGAAACUCAAAGGAAUUGACGGGACCCGCACAAGUAGCGGAGCAUGUGGUUUAAUUCGAAGCAACGCGAAGAACCUUACCUAAGCUUGACAUCCCAAUGACAUCUCCUUAAUCGGAGAGUUCCCUUCGGGACAUUGGUGACAGGUGGUGCAUGGUUGUCGUCAGCUCGUGUCGUGAGAUGUUGGGUUAAGUCCCGCAACGAGCGCAACCCUUGUCUUUAGUUGCCAUCAUUAAGUUGGGCACUCUAGAGAGACUGCCAGGGAUAACCUGGAGGAAGGUGGGAUGACGUCAAAUCAUCAUGCCCCUUAUGCUUAGGCUACACACGUGCUACAAUGGGUAGUACAGAGGGUUGCCAAGCCGUAAGGCGGAGCUAAUCCCUUAAAGCUACUCUCAGUUCGGAUUGUAGGCUGAAACUCGCCUACAUGAAGCUGGAGUUACUAGUAAUCGCAGAUCAGAAUGCUGCGGUGAAUGCGUUCCCGGGUCUUGUACACACCGCCCGUCACACCACGGGAGUUGGAGACGCCCGAAGCCGAUUAUCUAACCUUUCGAAGGUGGAAUUAAUAACUGGGUGAAGUCGUAACAAGGUAGCCGUAUCGGAAGGUGCGGCUGGAUCACCUCCUUUCUA
This 840-nucleotide ribosomal RNA is filed under the name Clostridioides difficile. Its description in RNAcentral is "bacterial SSU rRNA". It matches the Rfam family "Bacterial small subunit ribosomal RNA", at positions 675 to 1533 of the family's 1533-position model. Lineage: Bacteria; Bacillati; Bacillota; Clostridia; Peptostreptococcales; Peptostreptococcaceae. The record is from RNAcentral.